CUUCUAAAGUUUGACCUCAAAUCAGGUAGGACUACCCGCUGAACUUAAGCAUAUCAAUAAGCGGAGGAAAAGAAACCAACAGGGAUUGCCUCAGUAACGGCGAGUGAAGCGGCAAAAGCUCAAAUUUGAAAUCUGGUACCUUUGGUGCCCGAGUUGUAAUUUGAAGAUAGUUUUCUGGUGCUGGCCCUUGUCUAUGUUCCUUGGAACAGGACGUCACAGAGGGUGAGAAUCCCGUCUGGCGGGGUGUCCAGUGCUUUGUAGAUUUCUAUCGACGAGUCGAGUUGUUUGGGAAUGCAGCUCUAAGUGGGUGGUAAAUUCCAUCUAAAGCUAAAUAUUGGCGAGAGACCGAUAGCGAACAAGUACAGUGAUGGAAAGAUGAAAAGAACUUUGAAAAGAGAGUGAAAAAGUACGUGAAAUUGUUGAAAGGGAAGGGUAUUAGAUCAGACUUGGUGUUUUGUGAUUAUCUUCCCUUCUUGGGUUGUGCACUCGCAUUUCACUGGGCCAGCAUCGGUUCGGGUGGUAAGAUAAUGACAUUGGAACGUGGCACUGCCUUCGGGUGGUGUGUUAUAGCCCUUGUUGAUGUUGCCUACCUGGACCGAGGACUGCGGCUUUGC
RNAcentral lists this ribosomal RNA (614 nucleotides) under Williopsis saturnus. RNAcentral describes it as "eukaryotic LSU rRNA". It matches the Rfam family "Eukaryotic large subunit ribosomal RNA", at positions 1 to 605 of the family's 3401-position model. Lineage: Eukaryota; Fungi; Ascomycota; Saccharomycetes; Phaffomycetales; Wickerhamomycetaceae. The record is from RNAcentral.